Molecule: long non-coding RNA, 883 nt
Organism: Felis catus (domestic cat)
Lineage: Eukaryota; Metazoa; Chordata; Mammalia; Carnivora; Felidae
Exons: 3
Source: RefSeq, a predicted model, not a curated record
UAAUCAGCGAAGGUCAUGCCCAUUAGCGUCCAUUAAUGUCAUUGCUAUCUGUGGUGCCUCUCGAAGCUCCGCCCGGUCCAGCAGAUUCUUUCAAACCCUGAGGCGAUUGUGUUUGGGCUGUUUCGGGCUGGGAAGCAAGAUGAGAGCCCCAGGAGACUGAGGAUACGAUGCAUCAGCUGGGUUCCUGCCAUCACUUAGCAAACCCUCACAGCGAAAGGACUCCCAGUGAGGAAUCGCAAUCCCACACUCCCUGUACUGCAAUGUGUUCAAGCACCUAUUUCUUGAUCUUGUCCACUUGUCUAAUUGUUGGUGGCAGAAGGGUGAGCCCAGUGACCACAACUCCAACGCAAAGGAAGUGGAAGCUUCAGGAAGAACGAAGGGAGUGAGACGAGCUUCUCCUGUUUGAUCAGUGUGCUGAGAAGCCUGCCGCUCACCCAGAAGGAAUAGGGAGGAAAUGAGGGUUAUGGUGCAUGAACUUCAUGGGCUUCGCGUUCGGCCGGAUUUCCAAUCUCGAUGAUCCCCUGCACGACACUGGAGAGCUAGAGAUUGCAAUCGUGUUUCAUGCAUGCGGGGGAAACGUCUCGCAAGAUGAAAACAAUACCUCCGACUACCUGGCACAGCCACCACUUGGUAGACUGGAAGCUACUGGAAGCAUUUCAGUUUGGAAUCUAAACCCUAACUUAGUCCACGCGGAGCCUUCAUUUACACGCUUUCUUCCAACUCCCUAUGUCUGCUCAGGAUUAUCUGGGUACACAUCUGUCUCUGUCACCAGAUAUGAGCUUCCUUAAGGUCAGGGCUAUGUUUUAUGACCCUCCCCCCCCCCACCCCCCGUGUCUAACAUAGUAUUUUGCUUUUAUAAAAAAUAAUAAUAAUAAAUAUUUUU